Lycium ferocissimum is the source of this 2380-nucleotide RNA transcript. RefSeq lists it as uncharacterized. The record is from RefSeq and is a predicted model, not a curated record. Lineage: Eukaryota; Viridiplantae; Streptophyta; Magnoliopsida; Solanales; Solanaceae. The transcript is spliced from 4 exons.
AAUUUCGUGACCACCUUCAUCCAUGAACUAGCCGUCGCUGCUCACUCCCAAAACCCUAAACCACAAACCACAAACCACAAACUCCCUCCCAAACCCUUAAAAAAUGGGAAUGAACCUAUUUGACGGUGACGAUGACGACAUUGAGAAGCUCGACAAUAUCGAAAUCAACGAGGAAUUUGCUCGUCGCUACGAACACAACAAGAAAAGAGAAGACUUACAAAAACUCGAAGAGUUGAAGAAGAAAGGCGUCAUUGAUGACGAAAGCAACACGUCAUCUGAAGAUGAAGAUGAAGAAGAAGAAGAAGAAGUUGAGGAUUUGAACGGUUCAAGUAAUUUAAAGUUCUUUGAUGGUUUACUUAAGAUUAAAAAAGGUGAUCCUGUUGUUUUGAAUAAUAAACAUGCUAAAUUAUUCGAUUCUGAUGAUGAAACUGAAACUGAAACAAAUCCUGAGAAAAAUAAAGAAAAUAAGAAAAAGAAAAAGCCAAUGUAUUUGAAGGAUGUUGUAUCUAAGCAUUUAAUAGAGGAAGGUCCCGAAUUCGGAAACGAUGAGGAGGAGGAGGAGGAAAAAGAGGAGAAGAAAGUGAAAACGUAUAACGAGGAGCAAGACGAGUUAAGAAAGGAGUUUUUAAAUGCUGUUAAGGAGGAUGAGGAAGAGGAUGAGGACUUGUUUAAGGUGAAAGAGACUGAGAAAGAUGACAAUGUGGAGGAGGGCGAUACGGAGUUUGUUAAGAAAUUGGAUGAGUUUUUCGGGGAAGAUGACAAGUUAGACGAGGAGACGGUGUUUUUGAAGGAUUUUUUUAGGAAGGAGAUGUGGAAGGAAGAUAAGAAAGGGAAAAGGGAUGAUGUAGAGGACGUGGAGUUGAUUUCGGAGGAUGAGGAGGAGAUUGAGAGACAAGAGGAUUAUGAGAGAGAGUUUAAUUUUAGGUAUGAGGAAAAUGCGGGUGAUCGAGUGUGGGGACAUUCGAGGAAAGUGGAGGGAUCGGUUAGGAAGAAGACGAAUGCUAGAAAGUUGCAGAGGGAUAGAAAGGAAGAGAGGAUAGCGCAGGCGGAGGAAGAGAGGAAAGAGGAGUUGAAACGGUUGAAGAAUUUGAAGAAGAAGGAGAUGAAGGAGAAGCUCGAGAAAAUUAAGGAGACUGCCGGGAUAGGUGAUGACGAGGAUUGUUUGUUGGAUGUGGAUGAUUUGGAGGAGGAAUUUGAUCCGGACGAGUACGAUAGAAAGAUGAAGAAGGCUUUCGGUGAUGCUUAUUAUGAUGCGGAUGAUAUCGAUCCUGAAUUUGGAAGUGAUGAGGAUGAAGACGUUGAGAAGCCGGAUUUUGACAAGGAAGAUGAGUUACUUGGACUCCCUAAGGGAUGGGAUAAUGUGGACGAGCCUCGUGAUGGGUUUUUAUCAACUAGGGAAAGACUUCUCAAAACUAUAGAGAAUGAAGGGAAUGAAGGUGAUCACGAUCAAACAUCAGAUGUCAAUAAAGGAAGUGCAGAUGAAGAAGAAGAAGGAGGUAAGCGGAAGAAGAAACGGAAGCGGAGUAACACAGUAAUGAAGGCUGUUAGAGAAGAGCUAAUGGAGGAGUAUUAUAAGUUGGACUAUGAAGAUACUAUUGGGGACUUAAAGACAAGAUUUAAGUAUAGGCCUGUCAAAGCUAAUAGAUUCGGUCUUGCUCCAGCGGAGAUGCUAAUGAUAGAGGAUAAGGAGUUCAAUCAGUAUGUCUCUUUGAAGAAGAUAGCACCAUAUAGAGAAAAGGAAUGGAAGGUACCCCGUAUUAAAGCGUACGAACUGAAACAGGAUCUUAAAGGAGGAGUAUCACAUGUGCCAAAAUCUGACAAGAAGAAGGCAAAGUUUGGUAAUAAGGAAAAAAUUGAAAGUGAGACAGAUGAUAGGAAAAGGAAACAAGAGGAAUCCAAUGGAGAUACAAGCAAACGAAGUAGGAAGCGAAAGAAACAAGCUGAGCAUAAUCUAUCUACAUCAAGGCUUAAUGCAUAUUCUGCCAACCCAUCAGUGUCAAACAGCAAAAAGAAGUAGCAGGCAGUUAAUGGGAGCAGCUUUGUAUUACAGUUUGUUGUCUCUGUUUUAUAUUUGACCCGGCGUUGUCUAUUGGCAUUCCAAGCUGUUGAAAACCUGUAUCUAAGGUUGUUCGUCUUGGUGAUCAAUGAAAUCUCGCGGCGAUAAAUAUUGUCUACUGGGAAGGUCCAGUGUGGAAUAGAGUUUUGCAGAUCUGGCUAGAUGAUUGUAUUUUAAAUUGAAUCUGUUAGAAAUUGGCUUUGGUGAACAGUGAAAUUGUCAUAGUUAUGGAUCUUCCAGGGUGGAUGAGCCAUUACAAUUGAGUUAAUAUAAACUUCUUUAAUUGAGAUUAAAGGAUGUCCUUUUUUUUGUAGGGUUUCUCAA